This 404-nucleotide long non-coding RNA is filed under the name Setaria viridis. RNAcentral's name for it is "long non-coding RNA (SVIR_LNC001755)". Lineage: Eukaryota; Viridiplantae; Streptophyta; Magnoliopsida; Poales; Poaceae. The record is from RNAcentral.
UAAAAACCACCAUAGGGGGUGUUUUAAAUUGUUUUGCAAGGGUGAAGGAGUUAAAAACCCGAUUUUAUAGUUGAGGGGUAAUGUAGACGACCUUUGAUAAGUUGGGGGGUUAUGUAGACUCAGGUAUGACAUAGCAAAAUCUGUGACCCACUUACUGUUCCUUGAAAAUUUAAAUGACUCCAGGGCUGUCCUCCCAGUAGCUUAUUCUUGACUCGACGAUGGGGUUGCCUCCCGCAAAGCGCUUCGUUUAUAGUCUAUAACUAAACUCUAAAAGUCUUCACUUUGGACCAGUGCUCGGUGUUAGUGCUGCAGCCUUAGGCGCCUACUUCUGCAUCAUCUUGGGCUUUAGUGCAGGCUUAGGCUUGGCUAUCUUUUUGGUCUUCACAGGUUUUCGUUCUUCCUUU